Molecule: non-coding RNA, 477 nt
Organism: Sebastes umbrosus (honeycomb rockfish)
Lineage: Eukaryota; Metazoa; Chordata; Actinopteri; Perciformes; Sebastidae
Source: the annotation of a RefSeq genome assembly
GUUUAUUAAAAAAUGGAAAAAACAAUUACCUGGAGUUUAUUAUUUGUAGUUGCUAUUCAUGGAGUCUGGAGUGAGAUCAAACUGGACCAGUCUCCCUCUGAGGUGAAAAGACCUGGAGAGACAGUGAAGAUGUCCUGUAUCACGUCUGGUUAUACCAUGACAAGCAAUGCUAUUAACUGGAUACGACAGAGACCAGGAGAAGCUCUGGAGUGGAUCGGGAGGAUAAACACAAAUACAAACACUCCGAGCUAUGCCAGCUCCUUUCAAAGCCGUUUCAGUUUUACUCAAGAUGUGCCCAGCAGCACUCAGUACCUCGAGGUCAAGAGCCUGACAGCACAAGAUUCUGCUGUUUACUUCUGUGCUCGACACACAGUGACUGAAGACAGUGGAGCAGCUGCACUAAAACCUCCACAGACAACAAACUGCAGUGAUCUUAAUAACAUCUGGGUUCUCUCACCACCUGCUAAAACACGCUGA